This 402-nucleotide ribosomal RNA is filed under the name uncultured bacterium. RNAcentral's name for it is "bacterial SSU rRNA". It matches the Rfam family "Bacterial small subunit ribosomal RNA", at positions 917 to 1333 of the family's 1533-position model. The record is from RNAcentral.
GGGCCCGCACAAGCGGUGGAGCAUGUGGUUUAAUUCGAUGAUACGCGAGGAACCUUACCAGGGCUUAAAUGUAGUCUGACAGGGGUGGAAACACCCCCUCCUUCGGGCAGAUUACAAGGUGCUGCAUGGUUGUCGUCAGCUCGUGCCGUGAGGUGUCAGGUUAAGUCCUAUAACGAGCGCAACCCCUGCCGUUAGUUGCCAGCAUGUAAUGAUGGGAACUCUAACGGGACUGCCGGUGCAAACCGCGAGGAAGGUGGGGAUGACGUCAAAUCAUCACGGCCCUUACGUCCUGGGCUACACACGUGCUACAAUGGCCGGUACAGAGGGCAGCCACACCGCAAGGAGGCAGCGCCCUACGCUAUGAGCGGUAACUGGGAUGAAGUCGUAACAAGGUACACGAUC